GGGAAUCUGCCCUUGGGUUCGGAAUAACAGUGAGAAAUUACUGCUAAUACCGGAUGAUGUCUUCGGACCAAAGAUUUAUCGCCCAAGGAUGAGCCCGCGUAGGAUUAGGUAGUUGGUGGGGUAAUGGCCUACCAAGCCGACGAUCCUUAGCUGGUCUGAGAGGAUGAUCAGCCACACUGGGACUGAGACACGGCCCAGACUCCUACGGGAGGCAGCAGUGGGGAAUAUUGGACAAUGGGCGAAAGCCUGACGCAGCCAUGCCGCGUGAAUGAUGAAGGUCUUAGGAUUGUAAAAUUCUUUCACCGGGGACGAUAAUGACGGUACCCGGAGAAGAAGCCCCGGCUAACUUCGUGCCAGCAGCCGCGGUAAUACGAAGGGGGCUAGCGUUGCUCGGAAUUACUGGGCGUAAAGGGCGCGUAGGCGGAUCGUUAAGUCAGAGGUGAAAUCCCGGAGCUCAACUUCGGAAUUGCCUUUGAUACUGGCGAUCUUGAGUGUGAGAGAGGUAUGUGGAACUCCGAGU
RNAcentral lists this ribosomal RNA (520 nucleotides) under uncultured bacterium. Its description in RNAcentral is "bacterial SSU rRNA". It matches the Rfam family "Bacterial small subunit ribosomal RNA", at positions 120 to 674 of the family's 1533-position model. The record is from RNAcentral.